Molecule: ribosomal RNA, 374 nt
Filed under: uncultured bacterium
Lineage: Bacteria
Description: bacterial SSU rRNA
Rfam family: Bacterial small subunit ribosomal RNA
Source: RNAcentral
UACGUAGGUGGCAAGCGUUGUCCGGAUUUACUGGGCGUAAAGGAUGCGUAGGCGGAUAUUUAAGUCAGAUGUGAAAACCCCGAGCUUAACUUGGGGACUGCAUUUGAAACUGGAUAUCUAGAGUGUGGGAGAGGAGAAUGGAAUUCCUAGUGUAGCGGUGAAAUGCGUAGAGAUUAGGAAGAACACCAGUGGCGAAGGCGAUUCUCUGGACCAUAACUGACGCUGAGGCAUGAAAGCGUGGGUAGCAAACAGGAUUAGAUACCCUGGUAGUCCACGCCGUAAACGAUGAGUACUAGGUGUAGGGGGGUCCAACCCUCUGUGCCGCAGUUAACACAAUAAGUACUCCGCCUGGGAAGUACGAUCGCAAGAUUAAA